RNAcentral lists this small RNA (123 nucleotides) under Burkholderia stabilis. RNAcentral describes it as "ykkC-yxkD". It matches the Rfam family "Guanidine-I riboswitch aptamer". Rfam says of the family: This family represents a conserved RNA structure found upstream of the ykkC and yxkD genes in Bacillus subtilis and related genes in other bacteria. Lineage: Bacteria; Pseudomonadati; Pseudomonadota; Betaproteobacteria; Burkholderiales; Burkholderiaceae. The record is from RNAcentral.
UCUUAGGGAUGCUAGGGUUCCGGUUCGUCGAACGUCUGGUCCGAGAGCAGCCCGGCGUCGGUGCAUACGAUCGUUCGAUCGUGCGCGCAUGGCGCUACACGGCGGGACAAAAGCCCGGGAGAA